CUACGGGACGCAGCAGUGAGGAAUAUUGGUCAAUGGUCGCAAGACUGAACCAGCCAUGCCGCGUGCAGGAAGACGGUCCUAUGGAUUGUAAACUGCUUUUAUACAGGAAGAAACCCUCCCACGUGUGGGAGCUUGACGGUACUGUAGGAAUAAGGAUCGGCUAACUCCGUGCUAGCAGCCGCGGUAAUACGGAGGAUCCAAGCGUUAUCCGGAAUCAUUGGGUUUAAAGGGUCCGUAGGCGGCCUUAUAAGUCAGUGGUGAAAGCCCAUCGCUCAACGAUGGAACUGCCAUUGAUACUGUAAGGCUUGAAUUUUUGUGAAGUAACUAGAAUAUGUAGUGUAGCGGUGAAAUGCUUAGAUAUUACAUGGAAUACCAAUUGCGAAGGCAGGUUACUAACAAACGAUUGACGCUGAUGGACGAAAGCGUGGGGAGCGAACAGGAUUAGAUACCCCGGUAGUC
RNAcentral lists this ribosomal RNA (459 nucleotides) under uncultured bacterium. RNAcentral's name for it is "partial 16S ribosomal RNA". It matches the Rfam family "Bacterial small subunit ribosomal RNA", at positions 339 to 795 of the family's 1533-position model. The record is from RNAcentral.